Molecule: ribosomal RNA, 468 nt
Filed under: uncultured bacterium
Lineage: Bacteria
Description: partial 16S ribosomal RNA
Rfam family: Bacterial small subunit ribosomal RNA
Source: RNAcentral
GACGAACGCUGGCGGCGUGCUUAACACAUGCAAGUCGAACGGAAAUUCUCUGCUUUUGUGUGCUUCUCGAGUGGCGAACGGGUGAGUAACACGUAAGUAACCUUCCCUUGACGUUGGGUUAACUUCAGGAAACUGGUGCUAAUACCGGAUAGGAGCUCCUGCUGCAUGGUGGUGGUUGGAGAGUUUCGGCGGUUUGGGAUGUGCUCGAGGUUUAUCAGCUUGUUGGUGGGGUAGUGGCUUACCAAGGCGUUGACGGGUAGCCGGCCUGAGAGGGUGACCGGCCACAUUGGGACUGCGAUACGGACCAGACUCCUACGGGAGGCAGCAGUGGGGAAUAUUGCACAACGGGCGGAAGUCUGAUGAAGCAACGCUGCGUGCGGGAUGACGGCCUUCGGGUUGUAAAACGCUUUCGCCUGUGCCGAAGAGUGAGUGACGGUAAUGGGUCAAGAAGCAACGGCUAACUACGUG